AACGAACGCUGGCGGCGGGCCUAACACAUGCAAGUCGAGCGAGAAAGCUCCUUCGGGAGUGAGUAAAGCGGCGCACGGGUGAGUAACACGUGGGUAAUCUACCCUUUGGUCUGGAACAACUCGGGGAAACUCGGGCUAAUUCCGGAUAAGACCACGUAACGAGAGUUAAGUGGGAAAAGCGGGGGACCUCUUCGGAGACCUCGCGCCGAUGGAUGAGCCCGCGGCCCAUCAGCUUGUUGGUAGGGUAAUGGCCUACCAAGGCUAAGACGGGUAGCUGGUCUGAGAGGAUGAUCAGCCACACUGGAACUGAGACACGGUCCAGACUCCUACGGGAGGCAGCAGUGGGGAAUAUUGCGCAAUGGGGGAAACCCUGACGCAGCCACGCCGUGUGAGUGAUGAAGGCCUUCGGGUCGUAAAGCUCUGUCAAAAGGGAAGAUGGUUACUGCGGAUAAUACCCGUAGUGAUUGACGGUACCUUUAAAGGAAGCACCGGCUAACUCUGUGCCAGCCGCCGCAGUAACAC
Molecule: ribosomal RNA, 522 nt
Filed under: uncultured bacterium
Lineage: Bacteria
Description: bacterial SSU rRNA
Rfam family: Bacterial small subunit ribosomal RNA
Source: RNAcentral